RNAcentral lists this ribosomal RNA (404 nucleotides) under Verrucomicrobiota bacterium. RNAcentral's name for it is "Verrucomicrobia bacterium partial 16S ribosomal RNA". It matches the Rfam family "Bacterial small subunit ribosomal RNA", at positions 355 to 776 of the family's 1533-position model. Lineage: Bacteria; Pseudomonadati; Verrucomicrobiota. The record is from RNAcentral.
UGGGGUAUAUUGGACAAUGGGCGCAAGCCUGAUCCAGCCAUGCCGCGUGAGUGAUGAAGGCCCUAGGGUUGUAAAGCUCUUUCACCGGUGAAGAUAAUGACGGUAACCGGAGAAGAAGCCCCGGCUAACUUCGUGCCAGCAGCCGCGGUAAUACGAAGGGGGCUAGCGUUGUUCGGAUUUACUGGGCGUAAAGCGCACGUAGGCGGACUUUUAAGUCAGGGGUGAAAUCCCGGGGCUCAACCCCGGAACUGCCUUUGAUACUGGAAGUCUUGAGUAUGGUAGAGGUGAGUGGAAUUCCGAGUGUAGAGGUGAAAUUCGUAGAUAUACGGAGGAACACCAGUGGCGAAGGAGGGUCACUGGACGAUUACUGACGCUGAGGUGCGAAAGAGUGGGGAGCAAACAGG